UGGACACAGAGGGAAAGGAGGUCUCCCAGAACUCAGGCACAUCACGGCCUUCUCGCACUUAGGAACGCUAGACAGCUCUUCAGCACCAUGCUUGGGGGACCUUUUAAACGCUGAUAUCACCACUAAAAGGCCCAAAGAUGCAAAGCACGUGGCACUAAACAGACCGAGAAAAGACACUCGUUCACAGUAUAAGAGCCGAAAUGAGAAGGCACCCUCGUUCAGCCUCGUCUGGGAACCCACACAUAGGGCUACUCAAGAUUUUCUCUGCUUUGCGCCUGUCCAAGAAUAACCACAAAAGCCCUUCGCGUAUUGAUUCUGGGCUUCUAAUAAAUUUCAGCGAGUAGGCAAAUUCGCAGACACAGAAUCUGGGAAUCAUGAGGGCCAACUGUGUCAACAGCGCAGAUGUUAGAAACUAUGACGGACAGGAAGAGGUCUUGGACUUUGGUUCUGUCUUGAUGAGAGACACACUUGAUGAAAGGUCUCAGGCAAGUGAAUGCAAAUCUCUAAGACUGUUUCAUCUUCUGUAAAAUGGGAAUGUGCAUGCUCUGUCUUUCUUUCUGUUUCUGUACCGCCCUUUCCUUCUUAAAGCUGGUUGUGAAGAAGUUUGUUGAGGAAUUAUGAGAAGUUUGCUGCAGGGCAGUUGAGGAUAGAAGAAGAUCACAGGAGGAGGAAACAGGGUCAAAAAAGGUAAGAGCCCAGGGGAGGUAGAUUUGGACUCCAUAUAAGGAAGAAGGUUUUUUUUUUUUUGAGACAGAGUUUCGCUUUUGUCGCCCAGGCUGGAGUGCAAUGGUGCGAUCUCGGCUUACUGCAACCCCCGCCUCGCGGGUUCAAGCGAUUCUCUCGCCUCAGCCUCCUGAGUAGCUGGGAUUACAGGCACAUGCCACCACAUCCGGCCAAUUUUUGUAUUUUUAGUAGAGAUGGGGUUUCUCCACGUUGGUCAGGCUGGUCUCGAACUCCUGACCUCAGGUGAUCAGCCCACUUCAGCCUCCCAAAGUGCUAGGAUUACAGGCGUGAGCCACCAAGCCCAGCCUCCUACUCUUGAUUUUUAUAAAAGUACGAGCCCCUCCAGAGCAUGAGGGAUUGUGGAUAGACUUCAGGGGCCUGUGCACUUGUACAGGAAAAAAAAUCCUAUGUCUUCAUUUUCAUCAUCCUCCAACAAAAACUCAACCUUUCCUCAAUUAAAUAUGUAAGCAGCAAACCAUGCUAGUUUCAGCAAGACCCAUGCCUGUAUCCCCAGUAGGAAUCACAGAUAUCUCCAUAUCCCAUCACAGUGGUGCAGAUUUCCCAAAAUAGUGUUUAUGCGCCUCGUGAUUUUGAAAUUAGAGUUGUUAAAAUCCACCGCCAAUGUCUAACAUGUUGACAAAAAAAGAUGAUAUUAUGAUAUCACAAAUUUUGCUUUUGAAAAAUAUUUUGAGAAACUACAUUUUAGUGUAACUGGCCUCUUUUGUUAUUUCAUGUUAUGCAUUUAUAAGCAUUAUUCUGAGAAGGACCACGGCAGCCUGCCAAAGAGAUCCAUGACCCCCUAAAAGCCAAAGGACCCAGUUUUAGAGUAAAUGGACCCCUGACCACUACGUGGUGGAUGCGGCCAGAGGAUGGGGACUGGGCAGAGAAGAAGGAAGCGGGAAGGGAGGAGCAAGGCAGAGCGUGGCCUCUGGAGGAGACAGUUGGAGGGUAAGGGGUGGCACUGGCAAGCCUAGUGGGGGAUGUGUUGGAGGGAAGGCACACAGCCCAGUGGAGUAGGGGCAACAUCCAGGAAGGGAGCAGCAGGCCCCUACCAGGAUAGCCAGGGCUGUGGCAGGACCAUGGGUUCAGAGGGCUGCCUGCCUGGGUUAAAAUCCCCCCUCCUUCCUUGAGCCUCAGUUUCCCCCUCUGU
This 1873-nucleotide long non-coding RNA is filed under the name Homo sapiens (human). RNAcentral's name for it is "HSALNT0261525". The record is from RNAcentral. Lineage: Eukaryota; Metazoa; Chordata; Mammalia; Primates; Hominidae.